GAUGAACGCUGGCGGCGUGCCUAAUACAUGCAAGUCGAGCGAACGGACGAGAAGCUUGCUUCUCUGAUGUUAGCGGCGGACGGGUGAGUAACACGUGGAUAACCUACCUAUAAGACUGGGAUAACUUCGGGAAACCGUAGCUAAUACCGGAUAAUAUUUUGAACCGCAUGGUUCAAAAGUGAAAGACGGUCUUGCUGUCACUUAUAGAUGGAUCCGCGCUGCAUUAGAUAGUUGGUAAGGUAACGGCUUACCAAGGCAACGAUGCAUAGCCGACCUGAGAGGGUGAUCGGCCACACUGGAACUGAGACACGGUCCAGACUCCUACGGGAGGCAGCAGUAGGGAAUCUUCCGCAAUGGGCGAAAGCAUGACGGAGCAACGCCGCGUGAGUGAUGAAGGUCUUCGGAUCGUAAAACUCUGUUAUUAGGGAAGAACAUAUGUGUAAGUAACUGUGCACAUCUUGACGGUACCUAAUCAGAAAGCCACGGCUAACUACGUG
Molecule: ribosomal RNA, 497 nt
Filed under: uncultured bacterium
Lineage: Bacteria
Description: partial 16S ribosomal RNA
Rfam family: Bacterial small subunit ribosomal RNA
Source: RNAcentral